RNAcentral lists this transfer-messenger RNA (382 nucleotides) under Sphingomonas sp. SUN039. It matches the Rfam family "Alphaproteobacteria transfer-messenger RNA". Rfam says of the family: Bacterial tmRNA, also known as 10Sa RNA or SsrA, is named for its dual tRNA and mRNA-like properties. Its role is to liberate the mRNA from a stalled ribosome. Lineage: Bacteria; Pseudomonadati; Pseudomonadota; Alphaproteobacteria; Sphingomonadales; Sphingomonadaceae. The record is from RNAcentral.
UCACUUUUCAUUCAGCGACAAACCCCUAUAUCGGUCGUGCCGGGUUCGCCCGGCUAUGGCGAUAAACGAGGCCGCGCAAUAAGCGCAGCGGACCCGGGGGCGGUACCCGGCGGCUCCACCAAAUGCCCUGCUCCGGCAGGGUAACUGACGGGGCCGAACUAGGAUCGACGUGUGUUAAAAUCGGUUGUCGUCGCCCGACCUGAAUGAGUCGUAAAACCGUUCAAAACGACAAGUGCCAACGAUAACGAGGCGCUCGCGAUUGCUGCCUAACUGAAUCCUUCGUGGAUGAAGUUAGUUCGGCUUUAGCGCGGUAGGGACCACACCGGGCAACAGAAGUGGAAACCAGCGGCCGAGGGGUGCCGGGCAACAGAAACCCCUCACU